GCGGGCAUAGCUCAGACGGCAGAGCGCGACGUUGCCAUCGUCGAGGCCGCGGUUUCGAUCACCGCUGCCCGCACCA
Molecule: transfer RNA, 76 nt
Filed under: Rhodospirillaceae bacterium
Lineage: Bacteria; Pseudomonadati; Pseudomonadota; Alphaproteobacteria; Rhodospirillales; Rhodospirillaceae
Description: tRNA-Gly
Rfam family: tRNA
About the family: Transfer RNA (tRNA) molecules are approximately 80 nucleotides in length. Their secondary structure includes four short double-helical elements and three loops (D, anti-codon, and T loops). Further hydrogen bonds mediate the characteristic L-shaped molecular structure. tRNAs have two regions of fundamental functional importance: the anti-codon, which is responsible for specific mRNA codon recognition, and the 3' end, to which the tRNAs corresponding amino acid is attached (by aminoacyl-tRNA synthetases). tRNAs cope with the degeneracy of the genetic code in two manners: having more than one tRNA (with a specific anti-codon) for a particular amino acid; and 'wobble' base-pairing, i.e. permitting non-standard base-pairing at the 3rd anti-codon position.
Source: RNAcentral